GCGGGUAUAGCUUAAUGGUAAAGCGCCAGCCUUCCAAGCUGGCCACGCGGGUUCGAUUCCCGCUACCCGCUCCA
This 74-nucleotide transfer RNA is filed under the name Verrucomicrobiaceae bacterium. RNAcentral describes it as "tRNA-Gly". It matches the Rfam family "tRNA". Rfam says of the family: Transfer RNA (tRNA) molecules are approximately 80 nucleotides in length. Their secondary structure includes four short double-helical elements and three loops (D, anti-codon, and T loops). Further hydrogen bonds mediate the characteristic L-shaped molecular structure. tRNAs have two regions of fundamental functional importance: the anti-codon, which is responsible for specific mRNA codon recognition, and the 3' end, to which the tRNAs corresponding amino acid is attached (by aminoacyl-tRNA synthetases). tRNAs cope with the degeneracy of the genetic code in two manners: having more than one tRNA (with a specific anti-codon) for a particular amino acid; and 'wobble' base-pairing, i.e. permitting non-standard base-pairing at the 3rd anti-codon position. The record is from RNAcentral. Lineage: Bacteria; Pseudomonadati; Verrucomicrobiota; Verrucomicrobiia; Verrucomicrobiales; Verrucomicrobiaceae.